GACAGAGGGUGCAAACGUUGUUCGGAAUUACUGGGCGUAAAGCGUGUGUAGGCGGUCCAUUAAGUCGGGUGUGAAAGCCCUGGGCUCAACCCAGGAAGUGCACUCGAAACUGGCGGGCUAGAGUACUGGAGAGGUUGGUGGAAUUUACGGUGUAGCAGUGAAAUGCGUAGAGAUCGUAAGGAAGACCAGUGGCGAAGGCGGGUCUCUGGACAGUUCCUGACACUGAGGCACGAAGGCCAGGGGAGCAAACGGG
Molecule: ribosomal RNA, 253 nt
Filed under: uncultured bacterium
Lineage: Bacteria
Description: partial 16S ribosomal RNA
Rfam family: Bacterial small subunit ribosomal RNA
Source: RNAcentral